RNAcentral lists this transfer RNA (93 nucleotides) under Allochromatium tepidum. Its description in RNAcentral is "tRNA-Ser". Lineage: Bacteria; Pseudomonadati; Pseudomonadota; Gammaproteobacteria; Chromatiales; Chromatiaceae. The record is from RNAcentral.
UGGCUAUCUUGGCCUGGCCCAUCCGCGCCGGGUCGAUGCCGGCGGCGAGAUCGUCGAGUGGAUCGUUCAUGGUUCGAUUCCUGAGUCAGUCGG